UUCAUUUUAGAUAAAGUAUCUUAGUAAAAGUUAGAAAAACUACAAUGUUAAAAGAAGAGAAAGCUGAAGUAAAUAUUAUAGGCUAAUAUUGGUUAGCAUAUGGCUAAUGGGAUCAUAUUAAAAGUGACCAAGUUAGCGGCCUUAACGUAACAAUUUAGUUUUGAUCGACACAUAAACAACAAUUAUCUUUUAAACUGUAAAAUCACGAGAAAAAAAAUCUGAAUUAUACGUUUCAAAACGUAAAACCAUCCAAGACAUGUGAGCUGAAGUGGGAUGUUUUACCGUCAAACAAUUCAAAAACGUACUUUUGGAAGGCUGAAUACAGAGCCGGUGAACACUAGCUUGUAAAAUGAAAGUCAAUAACUUUGUGUGUUUAUUUAGUUAGCUGGUUAACGUCUUCUAGAAUCGUGCUGCAGAACAGAGUUGACUCUUUUAGUCCAGAUUUCCGAUGAGGACUGCAGAACGUAACAACAAACACAGUGAAACUCUGCCGGUGGUGUUGAUGCUGCGAUGGAAACUGUGCUGCUUUACACUGUUUUCCGUUAAUGCUAACACACAUUCAGCUGUGAUGUAGGACUAACUCUUUCUUGUUUCCGUCCUCUCUGGUAGCGGUUAGCUAAAUGAGUCUUAUUUAGCUGAAGUUUAGCUAAGUUGUUGAGCAGCAAACCCAAAUUUAAAGGAGAAAAUCUGCUAUUUUUGUAGUUGUUGGUAAAUGCCUUUUCCACCAAAGCCAUGUAACUACAUAAAGAGAAAACGUCCCGUUAGUAAUUGUCAUAAUGCUGUGCCAUUUGUGAUUAAAGGCAGAACUAUACAUUACCAUAGAACGGCACCAUUACGAGCCUGUAAGCUAGUUAACGUUUUAUUGAAAGUUAGCUAGCUUGCUUGUACGCCAAAACAAAACUAAAUUUGUAAAGUAAAGUGAGGAUAAGAAGGUAUAGAUUUACUAAAACAAAUCUUAAUUUGUAAUUGAAAAUUGAUUUGAGUCAACAAAUAAAGUAAUUAAUGGUCAUUAACUAUGAGGGGAAAUAACUGUAUUGAUCACAAUAUUAGUUCUUUUAAUUAUUUGCCAUUUGAAGGGAAAAUUGAUUAAUUUAGGAAAGAUUUAUCAAAACAUUUUAGUAUUUAACCGUGAAUGAGUUAAAACAAGGAAAACAACAUUGCCAAGUCUACAAUAAUUAUCAUAUUUGAUAUGAUACAACUCUAAUCAAAUUUCUUUUUACAUUUUAUUAUUAGAUUUUCAGCUGUUCUGGUCGACAGCAUAAAAUGAUGCAUUAGUUUAUUUGCUGCCACAAGGAAACUUGUCAAAGAUGAGCUUCUGCUGCCAGUUUAUACGGACACGGGAACUUCGUCCACAUUCCCAGAGAUGCAGAACGAAAAGAAAAACUCAGAUAUUUAAUGACAAGCAUAUCUUAUGCUGAAGGUCUCAGCUUCAUGUAGCCACAACAGUAUUUGAUCACUGUACUUUGGUGUUUUUUUUUCUUUCCUGCAUUAACUGAUUUAUUUUGAUGUUAUUUGGUGCUAGAAUAAUAUGUUAAAAUUCAGAGUUUAGAAUCAAGGAUCUUGUUUUUAUUCAAAGCCUCAAACCAAACUUCAUUCAAAAAGUAUCUUAUUUAAGACGUUUUAUGAGCGGACUUAUUGAUUGAACAAGAAGUUUAAUGCACAUUUAAUGUCUUUAAUAAAUUAAGAUUACAGUGAGAGUUUCUGGCUUUGAAUGAACGUGGAUCAGAUACAUCGGUGGCAUUAACUGUUACGUUUCAUUGUCUGUGGAGUAAAACUGAGCUUCAUCAGUAGUCAGAAGUGUUUCCUACAGUCGACAGUACUGUGUGUACUGACGUGUAGCUGUGAGUAGUUUAAACUGUACACAUAGGAGAUACUGUCACAGUGUUUUAUUACAUGCAUGAAGUACUGUAGUUCUGAGUGUUGUGCAUUUACAGCAUUUUAUCUCCUCUUUAUUCACAGAAACGAGUCGGUCUGUCGCUGUUAAAGAACCACAACUGCUGGUUUUAUGUGUUUUAAACCGUUAAUACUUCAUCAUCCUGCACAUCAUCUUCCAAAUUAUUCUUCAUUUGUUCUUAGAAUGACUUGAGAAAUUGGUUUCACUUCAUUUCAAUAGAAAUCAACUUGCAGAUUCUUGAAACUUGCUGAGACGUUUAGGGAUAUUUAAAGUUUUUGGAAACUCCUCUUUGGUUUCAUUUUUAGGUAUUUCUUGGAUCCAAAAUCUUUCUUUUGUCUUUUUCUUGAAAGUCAAGCAUAGAAGACAAACACAGACGUCAUUGAAAUAGGAAUUAACUUGUUUUUCGCAUCAGAAAUGUAGCCGUAAGUUGUAAAAUCUCAGUGUCCUUAAAUGCACCAAUUGUUUUUCCAUAAAGGUGCUUUACCACUAGAUGAUACGGAGUCCCAUCGUACUGAAAGAUAGUUUUUUUUUCUUGCUUGCACAUGAUAUAAAAAUACAUCUUUCAGGACAUUUAAAUAAUAAUACAACCUCAAACAGGAAGUGACAAGAAGUUUCUCUUCUCUGCAAGUUGAAUUUGAUAGAAACGAACUGAAAUCCACCAAAAGAUAAAAGAGAUUUACAGGAAUACAAAGAUGAACAACCAGCUGUCUCGCCUUCAGAUUAAAAACAAAGCAGAACAAAUCCUGCAGCUGAUGUUCCACCACUAAAGAUGAAUCCUACUAGUCAAAGGAUUUUCAGAUUUGAUGAGGUUCAUUUGGACAAACGAUGAUGUCAUUUAAAGGAAAAUAGUGUCAAAAACGGCAAAAUGUUCAACCCAGCUAACAAGUAAAUAAUCUUGCAAAAGUAAUCCACAAAAGGCCAACAAAGAAAAUUAAAAAGAAAAAGGGACGAAGCUCCUUUUAAAGCUCAAAAAGUGCACAAACUAAGAAUCUGAAGCUUCAGUUUUUUUUAAAUGUUAAUGUUUUAAUGGCUGCAUCAUUCUAUCAGAUGGAGAUAUUCUGAAUCAUAUUAGAAACAGAUUUGAAAUGAUUGAAUUAAAAUAGAAUCUGUGCACUUUUUGAGUAAAUAUUUUCUCAUGCAUCCAAAACAGUAAAUCUUUGGGAAUGUAAAAUUCUCCCUUCAUGUGUUUCAAAAUCUCGUCAUCGGUUUCACUUUUAUUCGUGGUUCAAUGUUUAAAGAUGUGCAGUGUUUUCCUGCUUCUCUGCGUCCGUAGUGCCUCGUAGCGUUAGACCCACCUGUCGUCUUUAAGCCCCGCCCCUCUGAGAGCAGACCAGGUGGAGGUUUGUUCUCUAGAAGGAUGUUUGUCCUGCAGGUGGAGGUUUGAUCUGCAGGACGAUAUUGGUUCUGCAGAUGGAGGAUUGUUCUUCAGGUGGAUGUUUGUCCUGCAGGUUGAGGUUAGUCCUGCAGGUGGAUGAUUGUUCUUCAGGUGGAGGUUUGUUCUGCAGGUGGAGGUUUGUUCUGCAGGUGGAUGAUUGUUCUUCAGGUGGAGGUUUGUCCUGCAGGUUGAGGUUAGUCCUGCAGGUGGAUGAUUGUUCUUCAGGUGGAGGUUUGUUCUGCAGGUGGAUGAUUGUUCUUCAGGUGGAGGUUUGUCCUGCAGGUGGAUGAUUGUUCUUCAGGUGGAGGUUUGUCCUGCAGGUGGAUGAUUGUUCUUCAGGUGGAGGUUUGUUCUGCAGGUGGAUGAUUGUUCUUCAGGUGGAGGUUUGUUCUGCAGGUGGAUGAUUUGUUCUGCAGGUGGAUGAUUGUUCUGCAGGUGGAUGAUUGCUCUUCAGGUGGAGGUUUGAGCUGCAGGUGGAGCUUUGCUCUUUAGAUGGAUGUCUGUUCUUCAGGUGGAGGUUUUGUCCUUCAGGUCGAUGUUAAUCCUGCAGUUCGAUGUUUGUCCUGCAGGAGAACGUGUUGUCUUACAGGUGGAGGUGUUGUCUUACAGGUGGAGGUGUUUGUAGUGCCUCAUCUAAACCCUCAGUGCUCUGAUGUUUUCGUGUGUUUCAGCUCAACGUGCCUCCAGAUUUGUUUUGCUGUAAAGUUUCGGUUUUAUUAACUGAACUUUUAUUAAAUAGAUGAAAUGUAUAUUUUUGCAAUUGUUUUUUUUUUU
Molecule: long non-coding RNA, 4043 nt
Organism: Anoplopoma fimbria (sablefish)
Lineage: Eukaryota; Metazoa; Chordata; Actinopteri; Perciformes; Anoplopomatidae
Exons: 3
Source: RefSeq, a predicted model, not a curated record